AGCUCCAAUAGCGUAUAUUAAAGUUGUUGCGGUUAAAAAGCUCGUAGUUGGAUCUCAGUGUUAGACGGUCGGUGUGCCGCCCGGCAUUACUGUCCGUACUGCACCGUCCGCCGUUGCAGUCUCCAGUGCUCUUCACUGAGUGUUGGACGAUUGCCGGUACGUUUACUUUGAAAAAAUUAGAGUGCUCCAAGCAGGCGUUUCCGCCUGAAUAUCUGUGCAUGGAAUAAUGGAAUAGGACCUCGGUUCUAUUUUGUUGGUUUUCGGAACUCGAGGUAAUGAUUAAUAGGGACAGACGGGGGCAUUCGUAUGGCGACGCUAGAGGUGAAAUUCUUGGACCGUCGCCAGACGAACUACUGCGAAAGCAUUUGCCAAGAAUGUUUUCA
This 383-nucleotide ribosomal RNA is filed under the name uncultured eukaryote. RNAcentral describes it as "SSU rRNA". It matches the Rfam family "Eukaryotic small subunit ribosomal RNA", at positions 587 to 972 of the family's 1831-position model. The record is from RNAcentral.